Molecule: ribosomal RNA, 366 nt
Filed under: uncultured eukaryote
Lineage: Eukaryota
Description: partial 18S ribosomal RNA
Rfam family: Eukaryotic small subunit ribosomal RNA
Source: RNAcentral
CAAUAGCGUAUAUUAACGUUGUUGCAGUUAAAAAGCUCGUAGUUGGAUUUCUGGAGGGAGCGUCGGCCCGUAUUUACGAGUGCGUGACGUCUCUGUCCAUCCUUGCGGGAAGGCACGGCAUUGAUUUGUUGUGUCGGAUCGCAUCAUUUACUGUGAAAAAAUUAGAGUGUUCAAAGCAGGCUUUCGCUUGAAUACAUUAGCAUGGAAUAAUAAGAUAGGACUUUGGUGCUAUUUUGUUGGUUGAGCCUAAAGUAAUGAUUAAUAGGGAUAGUUGGGGGCACCUGUAUUGCGUUGUCAGAGGUGAAAUUCUUGGAUUUACGCAAGACAAACAGCUGCGAAANCGNNNGCCAAGGAUGUUUUCAUNAG